GCAGAAAAAACACCUUAGUUUGAAACAACCAAAAUUUUGGUUAAAUUUCAAACUAACAAUCUUGUUGUAUUUAAUCCAAAAUUUGUUGUUCCAAACUCAUUGCUUUGUUUGAAACUAAUUUGUUUUAUAGGCUGUUUCAAUGUAGAAUCUUUGUUUCUUUUUAAUGUAUAUAAUGGUUGUUUCGAACUAAUUUUUUAGUUUGUUUUCACAAACAACUGGUUUGAUUUUACCAAAAACAAGGUUGUUUGUUUCUCCGACUAACAAUAAUUGUCAAGAUAAAUAAAAGGUUUGAUUCUACCAAAGCAAUGCUUUGAAACAAACUAAGAUUUUAAUCACGUUAAAAACAACCAAAGUUUUAGUUUGUUACAAACUAAUCUCAUGUGUUGUUUCUUUUUUUUGCUUUCCGUCAGAUAAAGGUAUAGUUAACUGCAGUUACCCUCGGAAUCGAAAAGAGAACAACAUAAUUGAGUGUGUUUUCAGUGAAAGGUUUUUCAAUUGAAUAUUCUUAUGAAUGUCCGGUUGAACUCUUUCGUUAAAAUGAAUGUGAAAAUAUUCAUGUAUCCAAGGCAACGAGAAACUGAUGCUGCUUCUGGUCCUCCAUUUUUCUAUUCUAUUCUUCAGCAGAGUGAUGAACAGAAAGUGAGUUAUGGCUAGAAACCGCCAGUAGAGAUCAUCUUUGACGGCGACAUUCUUUUGAUAGAAGGGCUUGUUGUUUCAGGAUUGUAAAUAAUAAUUAUUAAAAAAAACAUGUAUUUCAUGGAAUCUUGAAUAAAUGAUACUACAACAAACAUGCUUUGUCA
Aedes aegypti (yellow fever mosquito) is the source of this 800-nucleotide long non-coding RNA. RefSeq lists it as uncharacterized. NCBI's taxonomy places the organism in Eukaryota, Metazoa, Arthropoda, Insecta, Diptera, Culicidae. The record is from RefSeq and is a predicted model, not a curated record. The transcript is spliced from 3 exons.